Molecule: ribosomal RNA, 198 nt
Filed under: uncultured bacterium
Lineage: Bacteria
Description: partial 16S ribosomal RNA
Rfam family: Bacterial small subunit ribosomal RNA
Source: RNAcentral
ACGCUCGACACCUACGGGAGGCAGCAGUGGGGAAUAUUGCACAAUGGGGGAAACCCUGAUGCAGCAACGCCGCGUGAAGGAAGACGGUUUUCGGAUUGUAAACUUCUGUUCUUAGUGAAGAUAGUGACGGUAGCUAAGGAGCAAGCCACGGCUAACUACGUGCCAACAGCCACGGUAAUCUGAGCGGGCUGGCAAGGC